CCAUACACAGUGGCCGAGCCUCAAAAAAAGGCUCCGUACAAUGGCGGUCAGCAAUGCGAGGAAAGAAGCGGAAGUCCAAUUCGGCAACUCCAGCUAGCAUUACUGAAGCGAGCUAGCCUGAAAGUUCAUUCGUGCCACUUCCCGAGGACUUCGUGGAAGAGUAAUUGCCGUGGCAGUCGCUGCAACACGGACUCCUCCCAGUUAGAUGCCUAGCGAAGGAGAGUAUAUGAAGUCCCCAGAUGAAAAGGAUGUGAUGCGCGAGCUUGCAUGGACACAGUCUGCUGCUUUAGCUGCUGCAGUGAUUAUUUACAACAUAAUGAGGAGCGCCUAAAGUUUCCAAAAGAUUUGCAGAGCCUCUCUGAUCCAGUUGGCUCAUCUUAAAAGAAUAUCUCUGUCUUUUUUUGUCAUUGAUCACUGUUCAGAGCUCUCAGAUCAGAAUAAAACACAUUUUUACGUUUGCUGUUGAUAAUUGCUACAUACAUUAUGUAAAAACCAUAUGGUAGAAA
Long non-coding RNA from Lates calcarifer (barramundi perch), 506 nucleotides. RefSeq lists it as uncharacterized. The transcript has 4 exons. The record is from RefSeq and is a predicted model, not a curated record. NCBI's taxonomy places the organism in Eukaryota, Metazoa, Chordata, Actinopteri, Centropomidae.